GACGAACGCUGGCGGCGUGCCUAAUACAUGCAAGUAGAACGCUGAAGGAGGAGCUUGCUCUUCUGGAUGAGUUGCGAACGGGUGAGUAACGCGUAGGUAACCUGCCUGGUAGCGGGGGAUAACUAUUGGAAACGAUAGCUAAUACCGCAUAACAGUAGAUGUUGCAUGACAUUUACUUAAAAGGUGCAAUUGCAUCACUACCAGAUGGACCUGCGUUGUAUUAGCUAGUUGGUGGGGUAACGGCUCACCAAGGCGACGAUACAUAGCCGACCUGAGAGGGGGAUCGGCCACACUGGGACUGAGACACGGCCCAGACUCCUACGGGAGGCAGCAGUAGGGAAUCUUCGGCAAUGGACGGAAGUCUGACCGAGCAACGCCGCGUGAGUGAAGAAGGUUGUCGGAUCGUAAAGCUCUGUUGUAAGAGAAGAACGAGUGUGAGAGUGGAAAGUUCACACUGUGACGGUAUCUUACCAGAAAGGGACGGCUAACUACGUG
Molecule: ribosomal RNA, 495 nt
Filed under: uncultured bacterium
Lineage: Bacteria
Description: partial 16S ribosomal RNA
Rfam family: Bacterial small subunit ribosomal RNA
Source: RNAcentral